RNAcentral lists this ribosomal RNA (253 nucleotides) under uncultured bacterium. Its description in RNAcentral is "partial 16S ribosomal RNA". It matches the Rfam family "Bacterial small subunit ribosomal RNA", at positions 524 to 776 of the family's 1533-position model. The record is from RNAcentral.
UACGUAGGGUGCGAGCGUUAAUCGGAAUUACUGGGCGUAAAGCGUGCGCAGGCGGUUCGUUAAGUCAGAUGUGAAAGCCCCGGGCUCAACCUGGGAACUGCAUUUGAAACUGGCGGGCUUGAGUGUGGCAGAGGGGGGUGGAAUUCCGCGUGUAGCAGUGAAAUGCGUAGAGAUGUGGAGGAACACCGAUGGCGAAGGCAGCCCCCUGGGCUAACACUGACGCUCAUGCACGAAAGCGUGGGGAGCAAACAGG